AUAGUUUGGUUCGUAACAAGUGUAAGUUAGAGAGAGAGACCUAUUUUUGAGUUUAGAUCUCCCCUUUUACCCAAUUAUUCAACAUGGUAUUAUAGCAUGAUUCUGAAACCUAAACCCUAUGUGUUAACAACAUCAAAACUGAAACCUAAAACCCAAAAUUCGCUGCCUGUCUAUCAGUAUAGAAGAUUUUUCAGCGAUAUUAUAACCCUAUAAAACAGCCAACAGCAGCAGGAAGUCAGACCAGUCGCUAGUUUUCUGGUUGACACUGUCAGUUCAAGAACAUCAAACCCACUAUAGAUUUGUCAAGAUCAACACCAUAGUCACCCUCAGACACUGCCGGUCUGCCCCCACUGAAAUCCCACCUUUAGGCAGUUUCUCAUGGAACCUCACAUGCUGGACGAAGGCUGCCAAAGCCGACUGCAUGCGCCGGCGCAUGAAGCCACUCUCAGACAUGGUUUUGACCUGAAAUGAUUCAGCAGUGAUCCAAUCCCUCUAUUAACAUGUUAUUGGAGUUUUUCGUGAUGUUUUUUGCCCAAAGGUCUCACCUUUUUUAAUUGCUCAUCUACGAGACCCAAGGAAUGGUUCUUUGAUGCUUCGUGAAGCAGUUUAUCAAUGGUUAUUGAGUUUAUUGGGUCUGAAAUAGUGGGAUUUGCUGUGUUUUUUAUUUAAUGUUCUAAUUCAUUCCAUAUAUCAAAAUAUCAAGCUGUUCGACAUGUGUAUUGCUCGAAGAUCUAAUCUUUGUUGUGGCCAUGCAGUCAUGGUAAUUUCUUAGUUGUGAUUCGGUGUUAGUAACAGUCAUUGGAGACUCUCUUGGAGCAGUGGCAGUGCUCAGAAGCUGCUUUUUGUGAGCCAGUGGCAGUGCUCAUAAGCUGUUUUUUGUGAGCCAUGGGUUUGCAACUGUGACAACGUCAGGACGAUGUCAUGUAGCUCAGAUGCAGCUUUUCACUUUUUAUUUUUAUCCGAACAAAUGAAAUGUAUUUAAAUUUGAAUUUGUAUAAUAUAUUUGUAUUUGAAAUUGAAAUUGAAUUUGUAUAAUAUAUUUGUAUUUAAAUUUGAAUUAAAAUUUAGAAUAAUUUAUGAAUUUUAUUGCAAUUAUGGUUUAA
Malania oleifera is the source of this 1103-nucleotide long non-coding RNA. RefSeq lists it as uncharacterized. The transcript has 2 exons. Lineage: Eukaryota; Viridiplantae; Streptophyta; Magnoliopsida; Santalales; Ximeniaceae. The record is from RefSeq and is a predicted model, not a curated record.